AGUGAACGCUGGCGGUAGGCCUAACACAUGCAAGUCGAACGGCAGCACAGUAAGAGCUUGCUCUUACGGGUGGCGAGUGGCGGACGGGUGAGGAAUACAUCGGAAUCUACUUUUUCGUGGGGGAUAACGUAGGGAAACUUACGCGAAUACCGCAUACGACCUACGGGUGAAAGCAGGGGAUCUUCGGACCUUGCGCGAUUGAAUGAGCCGAUGUCGGAUUAGCUAGUUGGCGGGGUAAAGGCCCACCAAGGCGACGAUCCGUAGCUGGUCUGAGAGGAUGAUCAGCCACACUGGAACUGAGACACGGUCCAGACUCCUACGGGAGGCAGCAGUGGGGAAUAUUGGACAAUGGGCGCAAGCCUGAUCCAGCCAUACCGCGUGGGUGAAGAAGGCCUUCGGGUUGUAAAGCCCUUUUGUUGGGAAAGAAAAGCAGCAGGUUAAUACCCCGCUGUUCUGACGGUACCCAAAGAAUAAGCACCGGCUAACUUCGUG
RNAcentral lists this ribosomal RNA (492 nucleotides) under uncultured bacterium. Its description in RNAcentral is "partial 16S ribosomal RNA". It matches the Rfam family "Bacterial small subunit ribosomal RNA", at positions 29 to 507 of the family's 1533-position model. The record is from RNAcentral.